UGCGCAGGCGGGCUAUUAAGUCAGUGGUGAAAUCUCUCGGCUCAACCGAGAAACUGCCAUUGAAACUGAUAGUCUUGAGUAUGGUUGUGGUAGGCGGAAUAUAGCAUGUAGCGGUGAAAUGCUUAGAUAUGCUAUAGAACACCGAUCGCGAAGGCAGCUUAACAAGCCAUUACUGACGCUCAUGCACGAAAGCGUGGGGAGCAAACAGGAUUAGAUACCCUGGUAGUCC
Molecule: ribosomal RNA, 229 nt
Filed under: uncultured bacterium
Lineage: Bacteria
Description: partial 16S ribosomal RNA
Rfam family: Bacterial small subunit ribosomal RNA
Source: RNAcentral